AUAUUGCGGGAUAUGGGUCGAAAGACAUUAUGAUAUGGGCCGGAAGGCAUUAUAUGUAGAGGGCCGGAAGGCAUUAUAUGUUGUGGGCCGGAAGGCAUUGUGAUGUGGACCGGAAGGUCAUGGCCUGGAAAGGCGUAUGUGCGUAAUUAGUAUGUUGGCUGAGUCGUAGGGUGAUGUUAUGCUAGUGAUCGGCUAGGUCGGUAUCCUGGUUACGGUGAUCAUAUGCUAUGUGAUCUGUUUGAUCGAUUUGCUGACUGUGAACUGUUAUAUGAUUAUAUGUUAUGUGCACACGGUUGCUUGGACUGGAGUUUGAUCCGAUAUGCCUGGCUGUUCUAUGUUCUGUAUGCUUUUUAUGUUAUGGGCCGGAAGGUAAUAUGUUAUGGGCCGGAAGGCAAUAUGUUAGGGGCCGGAAGGCAAUACGAUUUAGACCGGAAGGUCGUGGUCUGGAAGGGCGUAUGUGUGGUUGGUAUUUUGGGGAUAUCUCACUAAGCUUUCGGGCUUACAGUUGUGGUUUCAUGUUUUUCAGGUUCUUCAGGAGGCUGUGGCAAGGCGAAGGCGUGAUCGUGCCGCUCCUCAUGAUUUCAUAGUAUUGUGAUUCUGGGAAACGUUAAAUGUUUUGUAUUGAAAACCUUUUUGUAAAGAAUUAAUGGAAUCGAGAUGUUUUUGAAAAAGUUAAAAUUGGUUGUAUUUUUCGGUCGUUACAAGUUACUAGUAUUGUAUGUGUAUAACCGAGUAUGCCUUUGCUACUCAAAGGUAUUGAACCAACUGAUGGAACUUAUAUAACUAUACAUAUAUAAGCGUGCAUUUGACAAUAUAAAAGUAUAAAAGAAGUUUUGUAACACCUUUGAAAAGUUGAAUAACUAAGAAAUAAUGACCUUAUAUAACUAUACAUAUAUAAGCGUGCAUUUGACAAUAUAAAAGUAUAAAAGAAGUUUUGUAACACCUUUGAAAAGUUGAAUAACUAAGAAAUAAUGACUUGAAAGCAGUUUGUUUGAUAAGAACAGUUUUAAGUAUAAGAAAACUUUUAUUUGAAACACGAUUCUAACAGCGUUUGAAAGGAAACAUAAAGUAUGUAAGACAGUUUGAUAAAGAGUUUUAACAUGUAAAAACGUUUGAGAAAGUCCUUUGAAGUAAUAUGUUUGGUGAAACAGCUAAACGUGUAGUAAAUCCAUUUGUAUACUAGUCAUAAAUCGCAUAAGAUUGAUUAAAUAAUAAUAUCGAAUACAUAGAAAAGGAUUGAUAUUUUCACACGAUAAUAACCGGGUGUUUAC
RNAcentral lists this long non-coding RNA (1271 nucleotides) under Lactuca sativa (garden lettuce). RNAcentral's name for it is "long non-coding RNA (LSAT_LNC001659)". The record is from RNAcentral. Lineage: Eukaryota; Viridiplantae; Streptophyta; Magnoliopsida; Asterales; Asteraceae.